This 1793-nucleotide ribosomal RNA is filed under the name Yersinia enterocolitica. Its description in RNAcentral is "bacterial LSU rRNA". It matches the Rfam family "Bacterial large subunit ribosomal RNA", at positions 1029 to 2925 of the family's 2925-position model. The record is from RNAcentral. Lineage: Bacteria; Pseudomonadati; Pseudomonadota; Gammaproteobacteria; Enterobacterales; Yersiniaceae.
AAGCCACACUAAACGUUGAGUUGGCCGGUGUGCUGACAAACGAACAGGCGUUUUAAGGAUACGUUCGUUGGGUAGGGGAGCGUUCUGUAAGCCGUUGAAGGUGAUCUGUGAGGGUUGCUGGAGGUAUCAGAAGUGCGAAUGCUGACAUAAGUAACGAUAAUGCGGGUGAAAAACCCGCACGCCGGAAGACCAAGGGUUCCUGUCCAACGUUAAUCGGGGCAGGGUGAGUCGACCCCUAAGGCGAGGCUGAAAAGCGUAGUCGAUGGGAAACAGGUUAAUAUUCCUGUACUUGGUGUUACUGCGAAGGGGGGACGGAGAAGGCUAGGCUAGCCGGGCGACGGUUGUCCCGGUUUAAGCAUGUAGGCGGAGUGACCAGGUAAAUCCGGUUGCUUAUCAACGCUGAGGUGUGAUGACGAUGCACUACGGUGCAGAAGUAGUUGAUGCCAUGCUUCCAGGAAAAGCCUCUAAGCAUCAGGUAACAUGAAAUCGUACCCCAAACCGACACAGGUGGUCAGGUAGAGAAUACUCAGGCGCUUGAGAGAACUCGGGUGAAGGAACUAGGCAAAAUGGUGCCGUAACUUCGGGAGAAGGCACGCUGGCAUUAGGUAAAGGGACUUGCUCCCGGCGCCGAAGCCAGUCGCAGAUACCAGCUGGCUGCAACUGUUUAAUAAAAACACAGCACUGUGCAAACACGAAAGUGGACGUAUACGGUGUGACGCCUGCCCGGUGCUGGAAGGUUAAUUGAUGGGGUCAGCCGCAAGGCGAAGCUCUUGAUCGAAGCCCCAGUAAACGGCGGCCGUAACUAUAACGGUCCUAAGGUAGCGAAAUUCCUUGUCGGGUAAGUUCCGACCUGCACGAAUGGCGUAAUGAUGGCCAGGCUGUCUCCACCCGAGACUCAGUGAAAUUGAACUCGCUGUGAAGAUGCAGUGUACCCGCGGCAAGACGGAAAGACCCCGUGAACCUUUACUAUAGCUUGACACUGAACAUUGAGCCUUGAUGUGUAGGAUAGGUGGGAGGCAUAGAAGUGUGGACGCCAGUCUGCAUGGAGCCAACCUUGAAAUACCACCCUUUAAUGUUUGAUGUUCUAACUCGGCCCCGUAAUCCGGGGUGAGGACAGUGUCUGGUGGGUAGUUUGACUGGGGCGGUCUCCUCCCAAAGAGUAACGGAGGAGCACGAAGGUUAGCUAAUCACGGUCGGACAUCGUGAGGUUAGUGCAAAGGCAUAAGCUAGCUUGACUGCGAGAGUGACGGCUCGAGCAGGUACGAAAGUAGGUCUUAGUGAUCCGGUGGUUCUGAAUGGAAGGGCCAUCGCUCAACGGAUAAAAGGUACUCCGGGGAUAACAGGCUGAUACCGCCCAAGAGUUCAUAUCGACGGCGGUGUUUGGCACCUCGAUGUCGGCUCAUCACAUCCUGGGGCUGAAGUAGGUCCCAAGGGUAUGGCUGUUCGCCAUUUAAAGUGGUACGCGAGCUGGGUUUAGAACGUCGUGAGACAGUUCGGUCCCUAUCUGCCGUGGGCGUUGGAAGAUUGAGAGGGGCUGCUCCUAGUACGAGAGGACCGGAGUGGACGAAUCACUGGUGUUCGGGUUGUCAUGCCAAUGGCAUUGCCCGGUAGCUAAAUUCGGAAGAGAUAACCGCUGAAAGCAUCUAAGCGGGAAACUUGCCUCGAGAUGAGUCUUCCCUGGGGCUUUAAGCCCCCUGAAGGAACGUUAAAGACGAUGACGUUGAUAGGCUGGGUGUGUAAGUGCAGCGAUGCAUUGAGCUAACCAGUACUAAUGAACCGUGAGGCUUAACCUU